CCCGAGAGAGUCGGGCGGUUCCCCUUCGGGGGGACGAGGGUGACAGGUGGUGCAUGGUUGUCGUCAGCUCGUGUCGUGAGAUGUUGGGUUAAGUCCCGCAACGAGCGCAACCCUCGACCUUAGUUGCCAGCAUUCAGUUGGGCACUCUAAGGUGACUGCCGGCUAAAAGUCGGAGGAAGUGGGGAUGACGUCAAAUCAUCAUGCCCCUUAUGACCUGGGCUACACACGUGCUACAAUGGGCGGUACAAAGGGUCGCGAACCCGCGAGGGGGAGCCAAUCCCAAAAAGCCGCUCUCAGUUCGGAUUGCAGGCUGCAACUCGCCUGCAUGAAGCCGGAAUCGCUAGUAAUCGCGGAUCAGCAUGCCGCGGUCGAAUACGUUCCCGGGCCUU
This 389-nucleotide ribosomal RNA is filed under the name uncultured Anoxybacillus sp. RNAcentral describes it as "bacterial SSU rRNA". It matches the Rfam family "Bacterial small subunit ribosomal RNA", at positions 998 to 1382 of the family's 1533-position model. Lineage: Bacteria; Bacillati; Bacillota; Bacilli; Caryophanales; Anoxybacillaceae. The record is from RNAcentral.